UGCGUUAUAACUAUUUUGUACAUUCUUUGAGGUUUGAAGUGAUUGGAGUAUUAUUAUUAAUAAUAUUUUGUCAAAAUAAAGUCACAUGAGCCUACAUGAAAUGACUACGGGGUCACUUGAUGCAUUGAAGCAACGUGUAAAUGAUAUGGAAUAAAAGCUUGAAGAGAACAAAAUAUUACAUUGUUCCGUGUGCAUUGUUCCGUGUUAGGUGUAAUAGCUCACGUCUUGGAAGCUAUUCUCGUCUUUGUUUGUGCAUAUAAUUUAAAACCUUCCCCGACUUUAUGGGGGCCAGCGAUGCGCUCCGGACAGAUGUGGAACAGUGAUAAGUCGAUCUGUCAAUUAACUUGGAGCAUAGACCUGUGAAGAUUGGGGCGUCUUUGAAUAAAAUUUCUCCUUAUCAAAAAGUUACAUACCUAAAAAACCAAUAUGUCAAACUACCUUUGUUGAUAACUUUGUUGAUAGCGAAGACGCUCUUAAGAGCUAAUCAAAUCUCCCAUUGCAAAUGACUCUUCCCCGACUUUAUAGGGGUCGAAAAUGCGCCUCGGUCGGAUAUGGAACAGUGAUAAAUCGGUCUGCCGAUCGACUUGGGGAAAUCCGAAGAUGACAAAGAAGUUUCAAAUUUAGGUAUGUAAAUUGGGGAAAUCCGAAGAUGACAAAGAAGUUUUAAAUUUAGGUAUAUAAAUUUCUGAUAAGGGAAAAUUUUAUUUAAAGAUCUUGGUUGGGGACAUCAUUUUUCUUUUUCAGAAAUCUACAAGUUUGUUGAAGAGAAAGAUAUAAGUGGUGUUAUUUAUAUUAAUGGAUUCAAGAGUGGGGGAGUCGGGAGAGUAGAGAAAUAGGUAAAGCUAGGCAAGUAAAACAUGGAGGAGAGAUAAAUAUAAUAGAAUAAUACUGACUCAGCAUGUUUUAUUCACUUUUUACUCUUUUUCAGUUUUUUACUUGUUGGUAAUUAAUGACAUAGCAGUGCCUUUAAUUUUACGCCAAUGCGUUUUCGAUCUCCCAUUGGUUGUACACCUAUCCUUAUUACAAAAUUAUGUUUGACUCGACAUUAUUCUUAUUUUACGUAAAAUUAGAGAAUGAGAAAGAUAGAAGUGGUUGUAUUUUAAGCACAUUUUUCUCCCCAUUCUUGAAUCUAUUAAUA
RNAcentral lists this long non-coding RNA (1138 nucleotides) under Panax ginseng (ginseng). RNAcentral's name for it is "long non-coding RNA (PGIN_LNC010676)". Lineage: Eukaryota; Viridiplantae; Streptophyta; Magnoliopsida; Apiales; Araliaceae. The record is from RNAcentral.